This 205-nucleotide long non-coding RNA is filed under the name Gossypium raimondii (Peruvian cotton). Its description in RNAcentral is "long non-coding RNA (GRAI_LNC008410)". Lineage: Eukaryota; Viridiplantae; Streptophyta; Magnoliopsida; Malvales; Malvaceae. The record is from RNAcentral.
GGGAAACAAAUGAGCUUAGAAAUAAAAAGAUAAACUUGGUGAAAGUAUAAUGGCAAAAGCACGGGAUAGAGGAAGUGACAUAGGAACCGAAGGAGGCAAUGAGGAAACAAUACCCGAACCUAUUUACUGGUAAGAUUUUCGAGGACGAAAAUCCUUAAGGGAAGAGAGUUGUAAUGGCCUAAAUUAAAGGUUAUCGAAACAGUGG